Long non-coding RNA from Seriola aureovittata, 4394 nucleotides. RefSeq lists it as uncharacterized. Lineage: Eukaryota; Metazoa; Chordata; Actinopteri; Carangiformes; Carangidae. The record is from RefSeq and is a predicted model, not a curated record. The transcript is spliced from 3 exons.
CAGACUCCACACACACACAUGUGAUAAACACAGUUUCACACAGGCUGUUAUUAUAGUUUUCUAAUUUUUAGAACUGUAUCUAAUCAGUGACACUGAGUCAAAGUGUUUCUUCUGACUGUAACACUCAAGAGUCACCUCAUGAUCAAGCACACAGGAAUCACCCAUCACAAGGUUUAAUGUGUGAAUGUGUGUCCAUCAGACCGAGGACAGGUCUGAGUUCACUGGACCAAACCCUUACUUCCUGUCUGGUCUGGCCUCUCACAGAGUACACACAGGAACACAAUGACUUUCAGUGUGAUAUAUCACACACAUAUGAGCGCCAUAUGAAGGAGUCUGUAACUCAGGGGUUUGGACUGACACUAAGUCACCCAGGAUGUCACCAAAUAAAACCAGAUCUCCUUCUUGUUCUCUCUCUUCUCUCCUUGACUUGUUCAGGAGCAGCAGCUCAUCUCCCCUCCCAGCUCUUCAAGGAGCAACAAGGCUCCCAGCCCAGGUCAGCCCUGCUACCUGAGACAACAGCUCUCUUGCCGGCCUGCUCUGAGCAGACUGCAACACUCUUUUCCUCAACAGCAGCGACCUGUUUAGGAUUAAGUGUGAAGUUUUCUUCAUAAUCAGCGGCUACAGCCAGGUGAUCUCCAAGCAACAGGAGCUGCAGUUUCUCCGUUUACCGCCAUCUUGUGUAGUCUUCUUUCUUCAGGCCACGUGUUAUCACAGUGACCAUUUUGAAUCGGCAUUCUUGUCUUUGACUGUGUUCCCACAGAAACACCUCCAUACACACACACACACACACACACACACACACACACACGUAUAUACUUUAGAUUAGACAUUGUGUUUUACUCUGUCCCAUUGUAAAUAAAUGUCUUUAAGUAUAACUACUGGUGUGUUUAAUGUUGCACAAGGAUGAUUAUUGCCAACCUCUAGUGCCAACAACAACUGCCAACUUCAAUCCUUCAACUUUAACUUACUGUUGAUAUGGUAAUUUGGUUAAACUUAUUAAAGGGGACAUAUUAUGCAAAAUGCACUUUUCCAUGGUUUUCUAUCAGUAGUAUGUGUCCCCGGCCUGUCUACAAACCCCCAAACAUGAGAAAAGUCCAUCCUCUCCGUCUUUUGCUUUCUCCACCUUUCAGGAAAUGUGUGCUCAGACAGGCGAAUUGGAGAUUUUCCCUUGAUGUCGUCAAGAAGGGCGGGUGACACUCCCCCGAGCUAGGUGUGUAUUCCGUCCACUGAGUCUGCCUUGCAGAUGCUAUCGUUACUUCCCUCGCGAACACUAGCUUUCGGUAGAACAAUGUCGAAGGUACGAGCGAAACACAGUUGCUUUGUUGUUGGCUGAACAAACCAACACAGAAGUCUUUUUUUUAACCCCUACGCCCGAGGAUCUGAAGACCCAGUGGAUUAAUUUUAUUUUUGAUGGAAAUAUACCCGCUUCAACUCCGAAAGUGUUGUACGUGUGUGCUAACCAUUUCACCUCGGACUGCUUUCUCAACGAGGGCCAGUACAAUGCAGGAUUUGUUACAAGUCUCAAGAUAAAGCUUGGAUCAGCACUGACUGUCCGUGACCCAACUUUGAACUUCGGAGCUCACAUAAAGUGCAUCUAUACAGCUUCCUGCAACAAGGGAUGUUGCAUGCCAGACUGACCCACUGUAGGCACACAGUUAUUCUUGAAGACUCUUCAGCCUCACAUCAGAAGUACAGACUCUACCUGGCUUGCCACGUACUACAAUGAAAAUGCUGACCGACCACAAGCGCAAACAAAAGAAGGUGAACCAAUGUUCAAGGUCCAAUUUCCAAAGGCCAUGAAGGGAGAAUGCAGAGCUAAACCAGCUAAGACUGAGCCGACAUUCUAUAAGUGUUAUAUUAUUUUAUUUUUCAACCAAAAUAUGUUUUGUACACAUUGUAUUAAGUAUUGCACAUAUAAUGUUAUGACAGUUCCAUCAACAACAAAAUACAGUAAAGAAAAUGUCAGGAGGUAGUUAGAAACAGACUUUCAGUCAUUGUUUUGUAAAAAAACAACAAAAAAAGAGAAAUGUAAACAAAAUCUUUUGUGUUUAUCAAACAGGGUAUGUGGUGGACCUCAUAUUUGAAAAAGUCUUUGUUGACCUGGGACCAUACACAGAAGCUGCUUUGGCCAUCCCCAUCCCAGAGGACCUCACUGCACAGUUAGAGCGGCCUGAGAAGGAGGAGGUCAUAUCCAGCUCUGUGUCCCGGUUCUAUCAUGGGCCAGUCUAAAACCCACGUACCGGCCUGUGGCGUCAGGAAACACGGCAUGGAUGAGUAGGACCACGCAGGUUGGAAUGACGACCCAGAUUCUGCGACCAAGGAAGCCCCAGCACCAGCUCACAAAGCUCCUAUAGGCUAGAUACCUGUACUGACUAAAACAACUGGACAGGGCAUUUAGUCUUGCAAACAUAUCUAUGUUGUGUCUAGCAAUUUCUUUUUAAGGAUCCAGUGAAUCCUACUGUUUUUUUUAUUAUCACUGAUUAUAAGUCCCUCAUUUGAUGCAAAUAAAUGCUUGAUUGUUACUAAAGAAAUGACUCCUCUGAAUUGAUAUAUUAUAUGCACACUAUCUGCUGAUAGAAGAACUUUACAAAUCAAAGAGCAGCUAAACUAAUUUAUUUGAGGGUGUGUUACUCCAUUUGUGGUGUGUUAUUACCAUUGUAAAAUUAUGUGCACGGAAGUAAAACAAGACUGCCUAACAUCUUUUAUUUAGAUUGAAACUAUGUUUUUACAAAGCAAAACGUACUGGUGUAUUCCUCUCAACCAUAAAGGACCAUAGUCAGCGCGGUACAUGUUGCAAGCAUUCUGGAGGGAGUACACAUUGAGGCAGAGCGGCUCCAACCCAGGAUGGUCUACCAUACAUGGUAAAUCUUCCUCGAUCUCCCAUAGCCGUAUGGUAACCUACAGUGAAUUGCAAAUGGUAAAUGCUAUGGUUUAUUAUAAAUGUAAGGUAAUCAAAACAAAUUACUGAUUAGUUUGUCCAGUGAGAAUGCUACCUGUGGUAUCUCCUAGCAGCAGAUAUUCUCAGCUUCUGUUGCACAGUUUCCACAGGAGCACCAGUGGCGAUUGCUCUAAGACUACAAGGGAAGCUCAGCUUCCCCUAAAAUGUCAACAAAAUAAGUGGUCAAAUAUGUGCUGUUGUGUGAACAUUUCAUUGACUAAAUAUGCGCUAGAACACGUUCAUCUUUUGUUCAGAAUCAGCUACUUAUCACAGGUAACCGACACGACUUCUUCUCAUUCUUCCCCGCAGCGCCACAGAGCUUUACACAGUGUAGACGCCGAGCGUCUCCUGACUUCAAUGGGGAAGCAGAGAGUGGGUUGUUCCACUGCAGCCAAACUAGACGGUCAUUGGAUAAAUGCUGGGCUUUGUCCCGCCCAUCGGACGCUCAGCGUCUCUGGGGGUCUAUGGAGCAGUGGGCUGGCCCGGACGCUCGGCUUCUGCAUGAUGAUUGGAUGAUCUGUCUGAGGCUGAGUCCCUUUUUGAUUGACAGCGAAAUGAGCGAAUCAGCGAUCUUGAAGUAUAAGCAUCCACCGGAGCAGUUUUCAAGUUUUUCAUUCCGUUGUUCGGAGUUGAUCUGGAGACGUUACUGAUCCUCUGCGACUUUGUCUUUGUUAAAAACGACUAGCGUUGUGUUUGGCAACUCUCUUCUGUCACUCUGCGAAUUUACAUUUAAAUAAACGGACACAUUUUAUGAUGUAGGCCGAAAAAUGAGCUUCCCCUCCUUAUAAGACCAGCAGCCGCCACUGAGGAGCACCUAUCCAAAAUAUUGAGAAAAAUGGUAAUAUUCACCAAAAUAUAAAGCUUAUGAAAUUAAAACACUGACAGACAGUGGAGCUAAGGUGGGUAAGAAGUAAGCUUGGCUACAUAUCAAGCGCAUAUAACAUAGGUAAUUUAUAACAUGUCACUUAUUGCAUAUAAUGUGGAGCUUGACAACAGUGUAGUGUAGAAAACUGCAAAGUUUAGUCUUUGACUAAAGAUUACUGUUGCUGUCAGACAUGUUUAUGCUGAUUUACAGCUUUCAUUGUAAUACACAAAAUACAUUUACUACAUAAAGGAAGAUGUCAUGAUGAGCAUCUCUGCUCAAAACAUGGAGAAAAAUGAUUUACUUUUGGCAGGAUCUAUUAAAAUAUCUGACUAGUACUGACAUUGAACACCUGUAGCAGUCCACAUACAACAAACAUUUUCAUAGACUGUAAAAGUAUAUCUAAGGAGGCAUGACAGAUAACUACAUUACACAAUUCACAAUAGUGCUUAUUUACCAAAAGAGCUCCCAGUAAUGACGAGACAGUAACAGUUAGCAUUAGCUACGUAGCUACAUGUCAGUAACUGUGUGCCAGCACACAUCAACAAACUGAAAAUGUAAUGUCAAAAUACACAAAAUUGCUUACCAACCAUU